AUCAAACAACAUAACACAUCCUAUGAUAUUACAUGCAUUCACAUUCAUCCAUUUUUACAUUACAAAUCUCAUUAGAUUCCAACAUUAGCUUUCACUUAACUUCCAAAUACAAUCCAAUUUAACAAUAUUAUUACAACUUGAUUCUUUUCAUUCUUCACAACCCUAAGUAAGGCCGACUCAGGGUACCGCUAUCUCUGGUCUCGGUGGUAGGGCGCUAACUAUGGAGCUACGCCCUCGCCUCGUGCCGCCGCGCCGCUCACGUGCGAACCUGUAACACCCCAAAAUCACGUGGGGUGAGAACCAACUCCAUGGUUCCUAGUGGGUACGGCCACCCAAGGAAAAAGCUCGACCAAUAGGUCCAAGGGAGGCAACUGCAAGUUAGUUCAAUAAACAGAUAGAUAUAUAUCUUGAUUAUGCAACGAAUAAAACCAUGCAUUGCCUCACGAAUGCAAUAAUGCAAUGCUAUAUGCAAAUCAUGCAAUAAUGCAACUAUGCAACCAACUAGUAGUUCAUUUGACACUACUUUCAAUUCUGCUAACCAUAGCUCAUCCAUUCGAUAUCUAAGGUUUCCUCUAUCUUAGAUUCUUGUCAAUCACCGUUUUAAUCAUAAAGUUUCAUCUACCUUUACAAGGCUAACCACCCGACUCGGUCUUGAGUCAAUCGUCUGCGGAGUACCGCACUAGAACCAGGCUCGAGGCGAUGGACGUCUCACAUACACCUCAGCCCUAGAUCCUCUCGACUAGGAUACCAAAUCCAUAACUCAUAAUGCAUACUUGUUGUACACUCAUUUGGCUAUGACCCAAUCUUACCGGUUAACCAUGUUAACCCCAAUAACUCACAACCAAAUCCCUUAAUAACGGGGGACUCGAACCUCCCUAGGGACCGUCAACUGGUGGGACUUUACCACGCCCAGUGGUGACCAACUCCGGAGCGCACCGCCCGAGGGGGAGCUACCUCCCUCAAGCCAAGACGUAACGUGAGUAUCGAUCCAAUCCUCAACUUGAGGAUUCAUAGCCACUCGUCACAAUGCCAAUGUCAUGAUAGGUCUCUACCUAUUUAAUCAUGCCACUCUCUAUGUCAACUUGGACCAAUGUCAAUAUGGUUAAACUAUGUUUAACAAUCACUUUCUUGAUGCCAAUCAUGUCUCUAUUGUCAUUGUCACCCUUGUUUACUAAUGUUCAAGUCCAACUCUCACAUUUACACAAUAAUAGGGUCCUAACAUACAUGAAUGACACCAGAAUAUAUAUGAUCAAUCACCACAAGUGUUUGCUAGGUUCAAGAUGCUAGGUUUAAUGCCACUCGAUCUAAUAUAUAUAUAGAUUGUCCACUAUGUUCCACAACAUGGCAAUAUGUCAUCAAGUAUGUUUUUCUAUUUAACAUAAUCCACAAUAUGUAAAUUCAUAAUAUAUCAUCAUGCACAUAUACCACUAGCAUCACAUGAUUUGUCAACAUACAUAUAGUCAUUAUCCAAAAUAGUCCAUACUUAGCAUCUCAUGCAUUCUUUUAGCACUUAAUUCAUUAUGCAUUACAUUUAGCAUUUCUAUAGUAUGUUAACAUGCAUUCUUUUCACAUUCUUAUAUUAUGUCAAUAUGCAUCAAUAUGAAAUCUCAUUUCUUAGACAUAAAGGGCGACCUAGUCGCUUCGGUAAACACAACCCACCUCAUUUCGCAUUCCGAUUGCUUGUCGACACUUGCAAUCGGCCGCCCGCGGCACCCGGCACCCGGUUUGGCCCGAUCUCUCACGCGACCACCCGAACGGCCUCCAAUUCACGAUCCGAAAAUUAAAGGUCUUCGGUUAUGUGCCACGAUGCUUCAAAUCCAUUUUCAUGAAUUUACGGUAUCGCCUCGGCCCUCCCGGCGGACCCGAAGCCUAAACGUCCAUUUCUUUAAUAACUUUGUAACGGCUCGUCGGAUUGCCGAACCGUCUUCGCCAACGCGUUUCGUUACCUAGCAAUUUGGUUUACGGAGGGUCAAAUGAGAUCAAACCCUCAUAUGUUGAAAGUUUGCAUUUUGAGCCCUAGGUUUACAACUAUGCAAGAAAUCAUUAAAUUGCUCUAUGAUUCAAGCAUUAAUCAUCUAUUAGGCAUCAAUGGGUUCCACUAAAACCAUUUCCAAAGCAUUUAGACCUAUCUUUAGAGAUCUACCAUUAAAGCCCUCAUUUUGGAGCUCUAGGUUUCAAUAGGUAAAAAUCCACCAUUAGAGCCUUGAUUUCAAGCAUCAAACCUCUAAUUAGCAUGCUAGAAUACCUCUAAAUCCAUUCUUAGAGCUUAAAAACCAAACUAGAGAGAAAUGCCAUUAAAGGGUUUGAAGCUUACCUUCAAAGCUUGCUCUAAUGGAGAAGAAGAAGAUAGAGAAGAUGAAAAUCCAUCCUUGAGCUUCAAUCUCCACCAAAACCCUCUCUUUUUGGGAGAGAUUUAGAGAGAGAAAGGGAGAUCUCUCUCUCCCUCCAUGUAUGCGUGUGUGUGUGUGUGGCGUGUGCGCGUGUGGUGUGCGGCCGAAGGAGAAGAAGAAGCAGCAGCUUCUUAAUAAUACCCCCAAGACACUAUUCACUCCCGGGCAGCUUGAAAUCUGAUAACUUUCGCCGGAGCUCCCUGAAUGUCCGUUUGAGCUCAAACUUGACAGUCAUGUUCGGUUUUACUUAACUUAACAAGCUGACGAUCACUGGUUCAGUUUCGACCCCGUUUGGUCACUGAAAACUGUACCGAAUUGCAAUCUUUAUCAGAUAGCUUUCGGAUUUUAUUUCUCACUCUACCGGUGUCAAAAAAAUAUGAAACCUUAAAUCUAGCAUCAUAAAAAUAUUUCUGACAUCUCUGCCAAUUUUCAUAAUUUUCUGAGACUGUGCAUUUUCUGCUAAUUUAUCUGCCCCGUUUCCAACAGAAAAUUCUAAAUCUUCUGUUUUAAUUCCGAUUUCAGCACAGGUCAUUUCUGACUUAUGUUUUACUCCUACAAAUCCAAUAAAAAUAGUUUCUCACACUAUUUUUAUUUAUUUUUAUUUUUAUA
Molecule: long non-coding RNA, 2999 nt
Filed under: Ananas comosus (pineapple)
Lineage: Eukaryota; Viridiplantae; Streptophyta; Magnoliopsida; Poales; Bromeliaceae
Description: long non-coding RNA (ACOM_LNC043596)
Source: RNAcentral